CGAACGUACACAACCUUCCUACAAGUGGGGAAUAGCCCAGAGAAAUUUGGAUUAAUACCCGUAACAUAUAAAGAUGGCAUCAUUUUUAUAUUAUAGCUACGGCGCUUGUUGAUGGGUGUGCGGCUGAUUAGGUAGUUGGCGGGGUAAUGGCCCACCAAGCCUGCGAUCAGUAGCUGAUGUGAGAGCAUGAUCAGCCACACGGGCACUGAGACACGGGCCCG
Molecule: ribosomal RNA, 221 nt
Filed under: uncultured bacterium
Lineage: Bacteria
Description: partial 16S ribosomal RNA
Rfam family: Bacterial small subunit ribosomal RNA
Source: RNAcentral